This 498-nucleotide ribosomal RNA is filed under the name uncultured bacterium. RNAcentral describes it as "partial 16S ribosomal RNA". It matches the Rfam family "Bacterial small subunit ribosomal RNA", at positions 28 to 507 of the family's 1533-position model. The record is from RNAcentral.
GACGAACGCUGGCGGCGUGCCUAAUACAUGCAAGUCGAACGAGAGCGACCGGUGCUUGCACUGGUCAAUCUAGUGGCGAACGGGUGAGUAACACGUGGGUAACCUGCUCAUCAGAGGGGGAUAACAUCCGGAAACGGAUGCUAAAACCGCAUAGGUCUUCGAGCCGCAUGGCUUGAAGAGGAAAAGAGGCGCAAGCUUCUGCUGAUGGAUGGACCCGCGGUGCAUUAGCUAGUUGGUGAGGUAACGGCUCACCAAGGCCGUGAUGCAUAGCCGACCUGAGAGGGUGAUCGGCCACAUUGGGACUGAGACACGGCCCAAACUCCUACGGGAGGCAGCAGUAGGGAAUCUUCCGCAAUGGACGCAGGUCUGACGGAGCAACGCCGCGUGAGUGAAGAAGGUUUUCGGAUCGUAAAACUCUGUUGUUAGAGAAGAACAAGUGCUAGAGUAACUGUUAGCGCCUUGACGGUAUCUAACCAGAAAGCCACGGCUAACUACGUG